GAUGAAGAACGUAGCGAAAUGCGAUAAGUAGUGUGAAUUGCAGAAUUCAGUGAAUCAUCGAAUCUUUGAACGCACAUUGCGCCCCUUGGUAUUCCAUGGGGCAUGCCUGUUCGAGCGUCAUUUGUACCUUCAAGCUUUGCUUGGUGUCGGGUGUUUGUCUCGCCUCUGCGUGUAGACUCGCCUUAAAACAAUUGGCAGCCGGCGUAUUGAUUUCGGAGCGCAGUACAUCUCGCGCUUUGCACUCAUAACGACGACGUCCAAAAGUACAUUUUUACACUCUUGACCUCGGAUCAGGUAGGGAUACCCGCUGAACUUAAGCAUAUCAAUAAGCGGAGGA
This 337-nucleotide unclassified non-coding RNA is filed under the name soil metagenome. Its description in RNAcentral is "partial contains 5.8S ribosomal RNA, internal transcribed spacer 2, and large subunit ribosomal RNA". The stretch from base 1 to 120 matches the Rfam family "5.8S ribosomal RNA", at positions 35 to 154 of the family's 154-position model. The record is from RNAcentral.